ACCCUUGGGACCGACUACAGCCCCAGGAUGCGAUGAGCCGACAUCGAGGUGCCAAAAUAUAUGUUAAGUGGAAAAGGAUGUGGCGUUGCCCAGACAACUAGGAUGUUGGCUUAGAAGCAGCCAUCAUUUAAAGAGUGCGUAAUAGCUCACUAGUCGAGUGACACUGCGCCGAAAAUGUACCGGGGCUAAACAUAUUACCGAAGCUGUGGAUUGUCCUUUGGACAAUGGUAGGAGAGCGUUCUAAGGGCGUUGAAGCAUGAUCGUAAGGACAUGUGGAGCGCUUAGAAGUGAGAAUGCCGGUGUGAGUAGCGAAAGACGGGUGAGAAUCCCGUCCACCGAUUGACUAAGGUUUCCAGAGGAAGGCUCGUCCGCUCUGGGUUAGUCGGGUCCUAAGCUGAGGCCGACAGGCGUAGGCGAUGGAUAACAGGUUGAUAUUCCUGUACCACCUAUAAUCGUUUUAAUCGAUGGGGGGACGCAGUAGGAUAGGCGAAGCGUGCGAUUGGAUUGCACGUCUAAGCAGUAAGGCUGAGUAUUAGGCAAAUCCGGUACUCGUUAAGGCUGAGCUGUGAUGGGGAGAAGACAUUGAGUCUUCGAGUCGUUGAUUUCACACUGCCGAGAAAAGCCUCUAGAUAGAAAAUAGGUGCCCGUACCGCAAACCGACACAGGUAGUCAAGAUGAGAAUUCUAAGGUGAGCGAGCGAACUCUCGUUAAGGAACUCGGCAAAAUGACCCCGUAACUUCGGGAGAAGGGGUGCUCUUUAGGGUUAACGCCCAGAAGAGCCGCAGUGAAUAGGCCCAAGCGACUGUUUAUCAAAAACACAGGUCUCUGCUAAACCGUAAGGUGAUGUAUAGGGGCUGACGCCUGCCCGGUGCUGGAAGGUUAAGAGGAGUGGUUAGCUUCUGCGAAGCUACGAAUCGAAGCCCCAGUAAACGGCGGCCGUAACUAUAACGGUCCUAAGGUAGCGAAAUUCCUUGUCGGGUAAGUUCCGACCCGCACGAAAGGCGUAACGAUUUGGGCACUGUCUCAACGAGAGACUCGGUGAAAUCAUAGUACCUGUGAAGAUGCAGGUUACCCGCGACAGGACGGAAAGACCCCGUGGAGCUUUACUGUAGCCUGAUAUUGAAAUUCGGCACAGCUUGUACAGGAUAGGUAGGAGCCUUUGAAACGUGAGCGCUAGCUUACGUGGAGGCGCUGGUGGGAUACUACCCUAGCUGUGUUGGCUUUCUAACCCGCACCACUUAUCGUGGUGGGAGACAGUGUCAAGCGGGCAGUUUGACUGGGGCGGUCGCCUCCUAAAAGGUAACGGAGGCGCUCAAAGGUUCCCUCAGAAUGGUUGGAAAUCAUUCAUAGAGUGUAAAGGCAUAAGGGAGCUUGACUGCGAGACCUACAAGUCGAGCAGGGUCGAAAGACGGACUUAGUGAUCCGGUGGKUCCGCAUGGAAGGGCCAUCGCUCAACGGAUAAAAGCUACCCCGGGGAUAACAGGCUUAUCUCCCCCAAGAGUUCACAUCGACGGGGAGGUUUGGCACCUCGAUGUCGGCUCAUCGCAUCCUGGGGCUGUAGUCGGUCCCAAGGGUUGGGCUGUUCGCCCAUUAAAGCGGUACGCGAGCUGGGUUCAGAACGUCGUGAGACAGUUCGGUCCCUAUCCGUCGUGGGCGUAGGAAAUUUGAGAGGAGCUGUCCUUAGUACGAGAGGACCGGGAUGGACAUACCUCUGGUGUACCAGUUGUCGUGCCAACGGCAUAGCUGGGUAGCUAUGUGUGGACGGGAUAAGUGCUGAAAGCAUCUAAGCAUGAAGCCCCCCUCAAGAUGAGAUUUCCCAACUUCGGUUAU
This 1830-nucleotide ribosomal RNA is filed under the name Staphylococcus aureus. RNAcentral's name for it is "bacterial LSU rRNA". The record is from RNAcentral. Lineage: Bacteria; Bacillati; Bacillota; Bacilli; Caryophanales; Staphylococcaceae.